Molecule: transfer RNA, 232 nt
Filed under: Lactobacillus gasseri 202-4
Lineage: Bacteria; Bacillati; Bacillota; Bacilli; Lactobacillales; Lactobacillaceae
Description: tRNA-Phe
Rfam family: tRNA (bases 2-75)
Source: RNAcentral
UCGCGGGAUGGAGCAGUCUGGUAGCUCGUCGGGCUCAUAACCCGAAGGUCAUAGGUUCAAAUCCUGUUCCCGCAAUAUGGUCCCUUGGUGUAGGGGUUAUCACGCCUCCCUGUCACGGAGGAGAUCACCGGUCCGAAUCCGGUAGGGACCGUAAUGGCUCGAUAGCUCAGUUGGUAGAGCAAAGGAUUGAAGCUCCUUGUGUCGGCGGUUCGAUUCCGUCUCGCGCCAUUAG